Molecule: microRNA precursor, 78 nt
Filed under: Schistosoma haematobium
Lineage: Eukaryota; Metazoa; Platyhelminthes; Trematoda; Strigeidida; Schistosomatidae
Description: mir-3492 microRNA precursor family
Rfam family: mir-3492 microRNA precursor family
Source: Rfam by way of RNAcentral
AGCUUUUCGAAUCCGUGUGGAGAUUUCGUCAGACGCUAACUCAUUUGGGCUGAUUAGACUUCCAAGAUAAGUGAAAUU